GGGGGUCUUGGGACCCCGAACUUCGGGGGCUGUUUUUUGGGCGCGGCUGUGCCCGUGGCCUAUUUUUGGCACACGGAGGCCGCCCGCCAUGUCUGGUGCCAUUCCGAGUCCCGCGGACGAACUUCGCCCACGCCCCCCACCAAGGCUAUAGCCCACCCGUUUUUUGGCCAUUUUUCCGCUGGGGGGUCUUGGGACCCCGAACUUCGGGGGCUGUUUUUUGGGCGCGGCUGUGCCCGUGGCCUAUUUUUGGCACACGGAGGCCGCCCGCCAAGUCUGGUGCCAUUCCGAGUCCCGCGGACGAACUUCGCCCACGCCCCCAACCAAGGCUAUAGCCCACCCGUUUUUUGGCCAUUUUUCCGCUGGGGGGUCUUGGGACCCCGAACUUCGGGGGCUGUUUUUUGGGCGCGACUGUGCCCGUGGCCUAUUUUUGGCACACGGAGGCCGCCCGCCAAGUCUGGUGCCAUUCCGAGUCCCGCGGACGAACUUCGCCCACGCACCCCACCAAGGCUAUAGCCCACCGUUUUUUGGCCAUUUUUCUGCGGGGGGGUCUUGGGACCCCGAACUUCGGGGCUUUUUUUUUGGGCGCGGCUGUGCCCGUGGCCUAUUUUUGGCACACGGAGGCCGCCCGCGAAGUCUGGUGCCAUUCCGAGUCCCACGGACGAACUUCGCCCACGCCCCCCACCAAGGCUAUAGCCCACCGUUUUUUGGCCAUUUUUCCGCUGGGGGGUCUUGGGACCCCGAACUUCGGGGGCUGUUUUUUGGGUGCGGCUGUGCCCGUGGCCUAUUUUUGGCACACGGAGGCCGCCCGCCAAGUCUGGUGCCAUUCCGAGUCCCGCGGACGAACUUCGUCCACGCCCCCCACCAAGGCUAUAGCCCACCCGUUUUUUGGCCAUUUUGCCGCUGGGGGGUCUUGGGACCCCGAACUUCGGGGGCUGUUUUUGGGC
RNAcentral lists this long non-coding RNA (944 nucleotides) under Citrus x clementina. RNAcentral describes it as "Citrus clementina (C. clementina) long non-coding RNA (CCLE_LNC005898)". The record is from RNAcentral. Lineage: Eukaryota; Viridiplantae; Streptophyta; Magnoliopsida; Sapindales; Rutaceae.